This 67-nucleotide transfer RNA is filed under the name Marmota monax (woodchuck). Its description in RNAcentral is "tRNA.Ala". The record is from RNAcentral. Lineage: Eukaryota; Metazoa; Chordata; Mammalia; Rodentia; Sciuridae.
GGUUGUGGCUCAGGGGUAGAGCACUUGCCUGGCAUGUGUGAGGCCUUGGGUUUGAUCCUCAGCACCA